ACCCUUUGUNCNGAUUANUUAGGUUCUCUGACGCCGUGUUGUUUANUCGGGGUGGUCUGGGGGCGUCACUAUUCGUGUGUCCAGGUGUCUUCUGGGACUUGCUGAUGACUAUUGCCGGCGCUUCCUUCGCCUUGGACGUUUUCUUUAACCAAGAAACCAACGUCACGGGAACGCAGACCAUGCUAUACCGUGGCAGACGUCUCCAUCGUUAUGCCGAUAAGGGAACGGGCGGCUUUUCUACUUGACCCGCUAUGCACCUUACUCCAAAUCAAGUUUUUGAGUUCUGGGGCGAGUAUGGCCUAUAUGGUCAGACCUAGNUAAGUUGCCCGAUGGUCACCACAAUGAGUGCAGCCGGCCGCUUACUUGGACUGCCCUUCCGUAAACUCAUUUAGUCCUCACCCUUAAGGAUUGAUCGAUUGAGAGCUCUUUCUCGAUCUUUUGGAUGGUGGUGCAUGGCCGUUCUUAAUUGGUGCACCGAUUUGUCUGCUUAAUUGCGAUAACAAAGUUAACCUCACCACUGAAUCUGAUCGGCCCGCGUCCGCUGGCUGUUGGUCUCUGAUGGGGACUAUCAUCUCAGGCCAAUGCAUUUGCACGACAUUGACAUGUCUAUGAUGCCCUUUUUAUGUCUCUGACCGCUGACGCGCUACACUGCCGAGGACCCCUAGUACAUCACACUGCCGUCCUAGGACCCGGUAAUCUUAGAAACGCAUGUCCUACUCGUAGCCGGC
This 728-nucleotide ribosomal RNA is filed under the name Aspergillus sp. M3. RNAcentral's name for it is "bacterial SSU rRNA". It matches the Rfam family "Eukaryotic small subunit ribosomal RNA", at positions 827 to 1581 of the family's 1831-position model. Lineage: Eukaryota; Fungi; Ascomycota; Eurotiomycetes; Eurotiales; Aspergillaceae. The record is from RNAcentral.